UACGAACUGUGCGAACGUUAUUCGGAAUCACUGGGCUUACAGGGUGCGUAGGCGGCCAGACAAGUCAGGUGUGAAAUCCCCCGGCUCAACCGGGGAACUGCGCUUGAAACUGUUUGGCUUGAGUCAGCUAGAGGUAUACGGAACUUCCGGUGGAGCGGUGAAAUGUGUUGAUAUCGGAAGGAACACCAGAGGCGAAAGCGGUGUACUGGAGCUGUUCUGACGCUGAGGCACGAAAGCCAGGGGAGCGAACGGG
RNAcentral lists this ribosomal RNA (253 nucleotides) under uncultured bacterium. RNAcentral's name for it is "partial 16S ribosomal RNA". It matches the Rfam family "Bacterial small subunit ribosomal RNA", at positions 524 to 776 of the family's 1533-position model. The record is from RNAcentral.